GUCUUCGUAGUAUAACAAAUACCCCGGCCUUGUAAACCGGAAAAGGAGAGAGUUACGCCUCCCUAAGACU
This 70-nucleotide transfer RNA is filed under the name Physeter macrocephalus (sperm whale). RNAcentral's name for it is "Physeter catodon (sperm whale) transfer RNA-Thr". Lineage: Eukaryota; Metazoa; Chordata; Mammalia; Artiodactyla; Physeteridae. The record is from RNAcentral.